This 29-nucleotide non-coding RNA is filed under the name Mus musculus (house mouse). Lineage: Eukaryota; Metazoa; Chordata; Mammalia; Rodentia; Muridae. The record is from RNAcentral.
UGCAUUUGCCCAACACAAAUUUUCAGCCA